AUUGAACGCUGGCGGCAUGCCUUACACAUGCAAGUCGAACGGCAGCACGGGUGCUUGCACCUGGUGGCGAGUGGCGAACGGGUGAGUAAUACAUCGGAACGUACCUUAUCGUGGGGGAUAACGCAGCGAAAGCUGUGCCAAUACCGCAUACGCCCUGAGGGGGAAAGCGGGGGAUCGAAAGACCUCGCGCGAUUAGAGCGGCCGAUGCCUGAUUAGCUUGUUGGUGGGGUAAAAGCCCACCAAGGCGACGAUCAGUAGCUGGUCUGAGAGGACGAUCAGCCACUCUGGGACUGAGACACGGCCCAGACUCCUACGGGAGGCAGCAGUGGGGAAUUUUGGACAAUGGGGACAACCCUGAUCCAGCAAUGCCGCGUGUGUGAAGAAGGCCUUCGGGUUGUAAAGCUCUUUUGUCAGGGAAGAAACACCGGCUCUAACACAGUCCGGGAAUGACGGUACCUGAAGAAUAAGCACCGGCUAACUACGUGCCAGCCGCCGCGGUAA
This 501-nucleotide ribosomal RNA is filed under the name uncultured bacterium. RNAcentral describes it as "partial 16S ribosomal RNA". It matches the Rfam family "Bacterial small subunit ribosomal RNA", at positions 30 to 523 of the family's 1533-position model. The record is from RNAcentral.